Molecule: ribosomal RNA, 118 nt
Organism: Boleophthalmus pectinirostris (great blue-spotted mudskipper)
Lineage: Eukaryota; Metazoa; Chordata; Actinopteri; Gobiiformes; Gobiidae
Source: RefSeq, a predicted model, not a curated record
CCAUGUGGCCAUACCGGCUUGUAAAAGCCUGAUCUCGUCAGAUCUCAGAAGCUAAGCAGGCUGGGCCUGGGUAGUACUUGGAUGGGAGACCGCUAGGGAAUUCCAGGUGCCACAGGGG